AGAUUGAACGCUGGCGGCAGGCCUAACACAUGCAAGUCGAGCGGUAGAGAGGUGCUUGCACCUCUUGAGAGCGGCGGACGGGUGAGUAAUGCCUAGGAAUCUGCCUAGUGGGUGGGGGAUAACGUUCGGAAACGGACGCUAAUACCGCAUACGUCCUACGGGAGAAGGCGGGGGACCUUCGGGCCUCGCGCCAUUAGAUGAGCCUAGGUCGGAUUAGCUAGUUGGUGAGGUAAUGGCUCACCAAGGCGACGAUCCGUAACUGGUCUGAGAGGAUGAUCAGUCACACUGGACUGAGACACGGUCCAGACUCCGUACGGGAGCAGCAGUGGGAAUAUGGACAGUGGGACAAAGCCUGAUUCAGCCAUCGCCGCGGUGUGGUGAAGUAAGGUUCUUACGGAGUUAGUAAAGUC
RNAcentral lists this ribosomal RNA (410 nucleotides) under uncultured soil bacterium. RNAcentral's name for it is "bacterial SSU rRNA". It matches the Rfam family "Bacterial small subunit ribosomal RNA", at positions 26 to 453 of the family's 1533-position model. The record is from RNAcentral.